This 279-nucleotide ribosomal RNA is filed under the name uncultured bacterium. Its description in RNAcentral is "partial 16S ribosomal RNA". It matches the Rfam family "Bacterial small subunit ribosomal RNA", at positions 506 to 784 of the family's 1533-position model. The record is from RNAcentral.
UGCCAGCCGCCGCGGUAAUACGGAGGGUGCGAACGUUAAUCGGAAUUACUGGGCGUAAAGCGCACGUAGGCGGUUUGUUAAGUGGGAUGUGAAAGCCCCGGGCUCAACCUGGGAAUUGCAUUCCAAACUGACAGGCUAGAGUGCAGUAGAGGGAGGUAGAAUUUCCUGUGUAGCGGUGAAAUGCGUAGAUAUAGGAAGGAAUACCAGUGGCGAAGGCGGCCUCCUGGACUGACACUGACGCUGAGGUGCGAAAGCGUGGGGAGCAAACAGGAUUAGAUA